This 477-nucleotide ribosomal RNA is filed under the name uncultured bacterium. RNAcentral describes it as "partial 16S ribosomal RNA". It matches the Rfam family "Bacterial small subunit ribosomal RNA", at positions 28 to 523 of the family's 1533-position model. The record is from RNAcentral.
GACGAACGCUGGCGGCGUGCUUAACACAUGCAAGUCGAGCGGUAAGGCCUUUCGGGGUACACGAGCGGCGAACGGGUGAGUAACACGUGGGUGAUCUGCCCUGCACUCUGGGAUAAGCCUGGGAAACUGGGUCUAAUACCGGAUAUGACUACAUGCUGCAUGGUGUGUGGUGGAAAGAUUUAUCGGUGCAGGAUGGGCCCGCGGCCUAUCAGCUUGUUGGUGGGGUAAUGGCCUACCAAGGCGACGACGGGUAGCCGACCUGAGAGGGUGACCGGCCACACUGGGACUGAGACACGGCCCAGACUCCACGGGAGGCAGCAGUGGGGAAUAUUGCACAAUGGGCGGAAGCCUGAUGCAGCGACGCCGCGUGAGGGAUGAAGGCCUUCGGGUUGUAAACCUCUUUCAGCAGGGACGAAGCGUGAGUGACGGUACCUGCAGAAGAAGCACCGGCUAACUACGUGCCAGCCGCCGCGGUAA